UACGUAGGGGGCGAGCGUUGUCCGGAUUUAUUGGGCGUAAAGAGCUCGUAGGCGGCUUGUCAAGUCGGGUGUGAAAACUCCAGGCUCAACCUGGAGAUGCCACUCGAGACUGCUAUGGCUAGAGUCCGGUAGGGGACCACGGAAUUCCUGGUGUAGCGGUGAAAUGCGCAGAUAUCAGGAGGAACACCGGUGGCGAAGGCGGUGGUCUGGGCCGGCACUGACGCUGAGGAGCGAAAGCGUGGGGAGCGAACAGG
RNAcentral lists this ribosomal RNA (254 nucleotides) under uncultured bacterium. RNAcentral's name for it is "partial 16S ribosomal RNA". It matches the Rfam family "Bacterial small subunit ribosomal RNA", at positions 524 to 776 of the family's 1533-position model. The record is from RNAcentral.